CAAACAUACACCCGUACUCACAGGCACAAACGCAAGCUCACACACACACAUACACGUUGAGCCCGUGGGAGAGCGAGGGACGUCGCACAGUGCAGAGUGGGGAAGAGGGAAGGAGAGCAGAACGUUGCAGCAGGACAGAGCGGAAACACACACACACCAGGACGUCUGUUGCAUGAAGCAGGUGGGGUUGGGAUCUCAAUGGACCAUCAUCAGUGACAUGGAGCACUGUAAGCCACCCACCACCAGAGGGCAGUGUUCUUCAUUACCAGUGGAACACACUGACCAGCCUCCAGCCUCAAACCACUCCCACAGUCCGAGCGUCCGUGAUGUGUGCUGACUGCUGAUAAGCACAUACCCGAGACAUAUCGGGACAGAAACAACAUAAGACAAAGACAACCAAGGAACAAGGGGUCAAACAUUGUAUCUUUGCUUCUAGUUGGUCAGUGUUGGGGUUCCAAUGUUGUCUUGGAACCAAUUAGUUUUCCAAAACGAAUACAUUUCGUAAUGCACCAUGAGGUGAUUGAAGCAUAGGGCUGGGACGUGGAAACGGAGACAAAAGCUUUUACAUAGUGGUGUAUGAUUGGUCCUUCUCCAGGAACCAUUGAGGAUGCAGCUGUCUGUCAUCAUUCUGGGCGUGUUCCUGUCCCUCCUCAUCCUGCUGACCAUAUUUGGCAACGUCCUGGUGUGUCUGGCGGUGUGCGCGACGCGACGCCUCCGCUGCCUCACAAACUGUUUCAUCGUCUCCCUGGCCGUGACUGACUUGCUGCUCGGCAUGCUGGUCCUGCCUUUCUCAGCCCUCCUCCAGCUCUCCAACGAUUGGCCGCUGGGGCCCACCCUUUGCAACCUCUAUAUCUCCAUGGAUGUCAUGCUGUGCACCGCCUCCAUCCUCAACCUGUUGGCCAUCAGUGUUGACCGCUACCUGGCCGUGACGGCACCUCUAAGGUACCCCUCGUUGGUGCUGCCGAGGCGUGUCGCCGUAGCAAUGGCGUCAGUGUGGGCCAUGUCGCUGGCAGUGUCGUUCCUGCCCAUCCAGCUGGGCUGGAACACAUCCAACGGCACCGUGCAGAAUUUUGGCCCCAACGACCCAGAGAGGAAGUGCAUUUUCAGGCUGAACCCAUCUUACGUCAUAGUGGACUCCCUGCUCACUUUCUACCUCCCCCUGCUGGUCAUGUGCUGGACCUACCACCGCAUCCUGCGCAUCGCACGGGCGCAGGCCAAACGCAUCAUCUCCAUGCGGCCCAACUUCAACGGCCCCGGGGCCCCCGCGGUGGUUUCCACGGUGACGGCGGUGGCGCUGCGUGAGCACAAGGCCACGGUGACUUUGGCGGCGGUGAUCGGGGCGUUUGUGGUGUGCUGGGUGCCCUACUUCACCCUGUUCACCAUCAUGGGGGUGCGGGAGCAGGCGGAGCCCCCGCCCGUAGCCUAUCCCGUGGUGCUGUGGCUGGGCUACACCAACUCCGCCCUCAACCCCAUCCUCUACGCCGCGCUCAACAGAGACUUCCGCUCGGCGUACGCUCGCCUGCUGCGCUGCGGCUACUACAGCACAGGGAGGGGCCGGCCCCCGUCGGCUAACCCGGCGAGGGAGGUGACCCUGCUGUGUGGACACACCCCCUCCAUCUGCAGGGCGGGGCUAGGAGAGACAGGUAUGUUGCUCCAGGACGUGAAUAGGAGACCUGCCAUGGCCACCUUCCAGCUCAGCAAUGGGGGCGAUGGCAAUGAUGACACCUCGAUGACUGGCGCCGUCGGCAGCGAUGGCUUGUGCUGAGGCUACGCUGGUGUGUGAGAAGAAUGUACCGGUAGGUCCAUCCGGCAUCCAGCCUGCAUCCUGACCUGUGUCUCAGAAGGAGGCCAAUGUGUUUGGUAGCAGAUUCUGAGAUAUGGGUGGAAUGGAAGUAGCGGUCGCCGUGUCAGACGAGACAGGUGGGAACACAACAUGGGCUGCUGCAUUCACGUGUGUCCUGGAUCUUUCCAGGUCUGAGCCCUCUCCUGCAGGACACAGACAUGCCAGCUGCAGGGGAGUCCAGAACAGCAAGCUCAUAGGACCAGGAAAACUGUGUGCGAUAAAGUAGCGAAAGAACACUGAGUAGCUGACGCAUUGUGGAUUUACUGUAACCUCAUACGCAGGAUGGAAUAACUGAAGGCUCUCAUUUCCAGCAAGGAGAAAGUUGACAUUUACCUGGGACUUGAGAUUUCAUUCUCCCUUCAUAUUGACUGGAUCUAAUGUGCACAUGACAGAAAAUCUGGUUCCCAAUUUUUAUUGAGUCAGGCUUGUUACUCCUCAAUUAUAAUUAAUUGGAUAUUCCCUUUGGUAUGUUGAGUUUCUCAUUUUAGAUCACAAGUAGACUACACCGAACUGAAGAGUAAAUAAUUCCCAGUGGUUUCAUAGCAAAUUACAGCAGAAAGGUCAACUAUUGGUAUUCAUUUUUAGAACGCACACAAACACACCAAUGUUCAAUGCAAAACCAAGUGGACAGCACAGGAUGAAUUCAGAUUUCAUGUUAUGAUCUUAUAGGUAACUGGGCAGGACCUAGGCCUAUUCAUUUCAAAGGGUUGGUGAAUAAUAUUUAAUUUAUUUAAACUUGAGCAAAGCAACAGCACAUACUAAAGGAUUAUACAGUACCUACAUUUUGGACAUUAUUUUAACAAAGCCUCAAUCAGAAAUAAUGUGAUUAGCAAUCCUAUGA
RNA transcript from Osmerus eperlanus (European smelt), 2684 nucleotides. It is a transcript of the gene named histamine receptor H2a, with no coding region annotated. The record is from RefSeq and is a predicted model, not a curated record. The transcript is spliced from 5 exons. Lineage: Eukaryota; Metazoa; Chordata; Actinopteri; Osmeriformes; Osmeridae.